ACAAGAUGGUUGAAUUAAUAAACGAUAAACUGUAAAUUUAUUUAUGAGUAAAUCUCUCUUGUA
Molecule: transfer RNA, 63 nt
Filed under: Glossiphonia complanata
Lineage: Eukaryota; Metazoa; Annelida; Clitellata; Rhynchobdellida; Glossiphoniidae
Description: tRNA-Tyr
Source: RNAcentral